ACUCCUACGGGAGGCAGCAGUGGGGAAUAUUGCACAAUGGGCGCAAGCCUGAUGCAGCCAUGCCGCGUGUGUGAAGAAGGCCUUCGGGUUGUAAAGCACUUUCAGUCGUGAGGAAGGUAGUGUAGUUAAUAGCUGCAUUAUUUGACGUUAGCGACAGAAGAAGCACCGGCUAACUCCGUGCCAGCAGCCGCGGUAAUACGGAGGGUGCGAGCGUUAAUCGGAAUUACUGGGCGUAAAGCGCAUGCAGGUGGUUUGUUAAGUCAGAUGUGAAAGCCCGGGGCUCAACCUCGGAAUAGCAUUUGAAACUGGCAGACUAGAGUACUGUAGAGGGGGUAGAAUUUCAGGUGUAGCGUGAAAUGCGUAGAGAUCGUGAAGGAUACCGGUGGCGAAGGCGGCCCCUGGACAGAUACUGACACUCGAGAUGCGAAAGCGUGGGAGCGAAACAGGAUUAGAUACCCCUGGUAGACUGUCA
RNAcentral lists this ribosomal RNA (472 nucleotides) under uncultured bacterium. RNAcentral describes it as "bacterial SSU rRNA". It matches the Rfam family "Bacterial small subunit ribosomal RNA", at positions 335 to 802 of the family's 1533-position model. The record is from RNAcentral.